GUUGUUUGCAUGAUGAUUGCAUAGUUCAUCUGAUUCAACCAAUGAUAACAUUACAUGUUUAGCAAAUGUCUUUCGCUCCUAUCUGACUACACACCUU
This 97-nucleotide small nucleolar RNA is filed under the name Hypsibius dujardini. Its description in RNAcentral is "Small nucleolar RNA snR60/Z15/Z230/Z193/J17". It matches the Rfam family "Small nucleolar RNA snR60/Z15/Z230/Z193/J17". Rfam says of the family: The members of this family belong to the C/D class of snoRNAs which contain the C (UGAUGA) and D (CUGA) box motifs. Most of the members of the box C/D family function in directing site-specific 2'-O-methylation of substrate RNAs. The record is from Rfam by way of RNAcentral. Lineage: Eukaryota; Metazoa; Tardigrada; Eutardigrada; Parachela; Hypsibiidae.